This 88-nucleotide ribosomal RNA is filed under the name Leadbetterella sp. Lineage: Bacteria; Pseudomonadati; Bacteroidota; Cytophagia; Cytophagales; Leadbetterellaceae. The record is from RNAcentral.
CACCUCUUCCCAUUUCGAACAGAGCAGUUAAGCCCCGCACCGCCGAUGGUACUUGGAUCAAACCCGGGAGAGUAGGUAGAUGCCAGUU